GUGCUCACUUUGGAAGCACAUAUACUAAAAUUGAUUAUCAUGGUCCCUGAGCAAGGAUGACAUGCAAAUUAGUGAAGUUUUCCAUAUUUUU
Molecule: small nuclear RNA, 91 nt
Filed under: Jaculus jaculus (lesser Egyptian jerboa)
Lineage: Eukaryota; Metazoa; Chordata; Mammalia; Rodentia; Dipodidae
Source: RNAcentral